RNAcentral lists this ribosomal RNA (484 nucleotides) under uncultured Cytophagales bacterium. RNAcentral describes it as "bacterial SSU rRNA". It matches the Rfam family "Bacterial small subunit ribosomal RNA", at positions 28 to 509 of the family's 1533-position model. The record is from RNAcentral. Lineage: Bacteria; Pseudomonadati; Bacteroidota; Sphingobacteriia; Sphingobacteriales.
GAUGAACGCUAGCGGCAGGCCUAAUACAUGCAAGUCGAGGGAGAUUGUUGGAUUCGUCUGACAUGAAACCGGCGCACGGGUGCGUAACACGUAUGCAACCUACCUUUAACUGGGGUAUAGCUCAGAGAAAUCUGAAUUAAUCCCCCAUAAGACUACGACAUGGCAUCAUGAUGUAGUUAAAGCUCCGGCGGUUAAGGAUGGGCAUGCGGUACAUUAGCUAGUUGGUGAGGUAAUGGCUCACCAAGGCUACGAUGUAUAGGGGGUCUGAGAGGAUGAUCCCCCACACUGGUACUGAGACACGGACCAGACUCCUACGGGAGGCAGCAGUAGGGAAUAUUGGUCAAUGGACGCAAGUCUGAACCAGCCAUGCCGCGUGAAGGAUGAAGGCCCUCUGGGUCGUAAACUUCUUUUAUUAGGGAAGAAACCUCAAGAUGCGUCUUGAGCUGACGGUACUUAAUGAAUAAGGAUCGGCUAACUUCGUGCC